RNAcentral lists this ribosomal RNA (1162 nucleotides) under coccoid cyanobacterium CMT-3FBIN-NPC1. Its description in RNAcentral is "bacterial SSU rRNA". It matches the Rfam family "Bacterial small subunit ribosomal RNA", at positions 356 to 1532 of the family's 1533-position model. The record is from RNAcentral. Lineage: Bacteria; Bacillati; Cyanobacteriota.
GGGGAAUUUUCCGCAAUGGGCGAAAGCCUGACGGAGCAAUACCGCGUGAGGGAGGAAGGCUCUUGGGUUGUAAACCUCUUUUCUCAGGGAAGAACACAAUGACGGUACCUGAGGAAUAAGCAUCGGCUAACUCCGUGCCAGCAGCCGCGGUAAUACGGAGGAUGCAAGCGUUAUCCGGAAUGAUUGGGCGUAAAGCGUUCGUAGGUGUCCUUCAAGUCUGCUGUCAAAGCGCAGGGCUUAACUCUGUAAAGGCGGUGGAAACUGAAGAGCUAGAGUGCGGUAGGGGUAGAGGGAAUUCCCGGUGUAGCGGUGAAAUGCGUAGAGAUCGGGAAGAACACCAGCAGCGAAAGCGCUCUACUGGGCCUGCACUGACACUGAGGGACGAAAGCUAGGGGAGCGAAUGGGAUUAGAUACCCCAGUAGUCCUAGCCGUAAACGAUGGAUACUAGGUGUUGCCUGUAUCGACCCGGGCAGUGCCGUAGCUAACGCGUUAAGUAUCCCGCCUGGGGAGUACGCGCGCAAGCGUGAAACUCAAAGGAAUUGACGGGGGCCCGCACAAGCGGUGGAGUAUGUGGUUUAAUUCGAUGCAACGCGAAGAACCUUACCAGGGCUUGACAUGUCGCGAACCUCAGGGAAACUUGAGGGUGCCUUCGGGAGCGCGAACACAGGUGGUGCAUGGCUGUCGUCAGCUCGUGUCGUGAGAUGUUGGGUUAAGUCCCGCAACGAGCGCAACCCUCGUCCUAAGUUGCCAGCAUUAAGUUGGGCACUCUGAGGAGACUGCCGGUGACAAACCGGAGGAAGGUGGGGAUGACGUCGAGUCAGCAUGCCCCUUACGUCCUGGGCUACACACGUACUACAAUGCUACGGACAAAGGGCAGCCAGACAGCAAUGUCGAGCAAAUCCCAUAAACCGUGGCACAGUUCAGAUUGCAGGCUGCAACUCGCCUGCAUGAAGGUGGAAUCGCUAGUAAUCGCAGGUCAGCAUACUGCGGUGAAUCCGUUCCCGGGCCUUGUACACACCGCCCGUCACACCAUGGAAGCUGGCUUAGCCCGAAGUCGUUACCCUAACCCGCAAGGGAGGGGGACGCCGAAGGCAGGGCUGGUGACUGGGGUGAAGUCGUAACAAGGUAGCCGUACCGGAAGGUGUGGCUGGAUCACCUCCUU